This 164-nucleotide ribosomal RNA is filed under the name uncultured bacterium. RNAcentral's name for it is "partial 16S ribosomal RNA". It matches the Rfam family "Bacterial small subunit ribosomal RNA", at positions 355 to 511 of the family's 1533-position model. The record is from RNAcentral.
UAGGGAAUCUUCCACAAUGGGCGCAAGCCUGAUGGAGCAACACCGCGUGAGUGAAGAAGGGUUUCGGCUCGUAAAGCUCUGUUGUUAAAGAAGAACACGUAUGAGAGUAACUGUUCAUACGUUGACGGUAUUUAACCAGAAAGUCACGGCUAAUUACGUACCAG